This 1346-nucleotide ribosomal RNA is filed under the name uncultured bacterium. Its description in RNAcentral is "bacterial SSU rRNA". It matches the Rfam family "Bacterial small subunit ribosomal RNA", at positions 28 to 1381 of the family's 1533-position model. The record is from RNAcentral.
GACGAACGCUGGCGGCGUGCUUAACACAUGCAAGUCGAACGGAAAGGCCCUGCUUUUGUGGGGUGCUCGAGUGGCGAACGGGUGAGUAACACGUGAGUAACCUGCCCUUGACUUUGGGAUAACUUCGGGAAACUGGGGCUAAUACCGGAUAGGAGCUCCUGCUGCAUGGUGGGGGUUGGAAAGUUUCGGCGGUUGGGGAUGGACUCGCGGCUUAUCAGCUUGUUGGUGGGGUAGUGGCUUACCAAGGCUUUGACGGGUAGCCGGCCUGAGAGGGUGACCGGCCACAUUGGGACUGAGAUACGGCCCAGACUCCUACGGGAGGCAGCAGUGGGGAAUAUUGCACAAUGGGCGGAAGCCUGAUGCAGCAACGCCGCGUGCGGGAUGACGGCCUUCGAGUUGUAAACCGCUUUCGCCUGUGACGAAGCGUGAGUGACGGUAAUGGGUAAAGAAGCACCGGCUAACUACGUGCCAGCAGCCGCGGUGAUACGUAGGGUGCGAGCGUUGUCCGGAUUUAUUGGGCGUAAAGGGCUCGUAGGUGGUUGAUCGCGUCGGAAGUGUAAUCUUGGGGCUUAACCCUGAGCGUGCUUUCGAUACGGGUUGACUUGAGGAAGGUAGGGGAGAAUGGAAUUCCUGGUGGAGCGGUGGAAUGCGCAGAUAUCAGGAGGAACACCAGUGGCGAAGGCGGUUCUCUGGGCCUUUCCUGACGCUGAGGAGCGAAAGCGUGGGGAGCGAACAGGCUUAGAUACCCUGGUAGUCCACGCUGUAAACGGUGGGUACUAGGUGUGGGGUCCAUUCCACGGGUUCCGUGCCGUAGCUAACGCUUUAAGUACCCCGCCUGGGGAGUACGGCCGCAAGGCUAAAACUCAAAGGAAUUGACGGGGCCCCGCACAAGCGGCGGAGCAUGCGGAUUAAUUCGAUGCAACGCGUAGAACCUUACCUGGGUUUGACAUGGAUCGGGAGCGCUCAGAGAUGGGUGUGCCUCUUUUGGGGUCGGUUCACAGGUGGUGCAUGGCUGUCGUCAGCUCGUGUCGUGAGAUGUUGGGUUAAGUCCCGCAACGAGCGCAACCCUUGUUCACUGUUGCCAGCACGUUAUGGUGGGGACUCAGUGGAGACCGCCGGGGUCGACUCGGAGGAAGGUGGGGAUGACGUCAAGUCAUCAUGCCCCUUAUGUCCAGGGCUUCACGCAUGCUACAAUGGCUGGUACAGAGAGUGGCGAGCCUGUGAGGGUGAGCGAAUCUCGGAAAGCCGGUCUCAGUUCGGAUUGGGGUCUGCAACUCGACCUCAUGAAGUCGGAGUCGCUAGUAAUCGCAGAUCAGCAACGCUGCGGUGAAUACGUUCCCGGGGCU